AUGAUUGCCAAUGAGACAACUGUCCACAAGAGACCAAAAUGACACAGAAAUUAACAACUAUAGAUCACUGUACGGCCUUCAACAAUGAGCAAAGCCCAUAUCGCAUUGUCCGCUAUAAAAGGCCCCGAAAUGACAAUGUAAAACAAUUCAAAUGAGAAAACUAACGGCCUUAUUGAUAUAAAAAAAACGAACGAAACAAAAUAUGUAACACAUAAACAAACGACUACAGGCUCCUGAUUUGGGACAGGCGCGUACAUCAUAAUUUGGCGGGGUUAAACAUGUUAGCGGGAUCCCAACCCUCCCCUAACCUGGGACAGACUCAAUGGUAUAAUAGUACAACAUAAGAACGAACUAUAAAAACCAGUUUCUUAUGUUUUGCGUUGAAACGAC
Molecule: long non-coding RNA, 390 nt
Filed under: Mytilus galloprovincialis (Mediterranean mussel)
Lineage: Eukaryota; Metazoa; Mollusca; Bivalvia; Mytilida; Mytilidae
Source: RNAcentral